Molecule: unclassified non-coding RNA, 337 nt
Filed under: soil metagenome
Description: partial contains 5.8S ribosomal RNA, internal transcribed spacer 2, and large subunit ribosomal RNA
Rfam family: 5.8S ribosomal RNA (bases 1-120)
Source: RNAcentral
GAUGAAGAACGUAGUGAAAUGCGAUAAGUAGUGUGAAUUGCAGAAUUCAGUGAAUCAUCGAAUCUUUGAACGCACAUUGCGCCCCUUGGUAUUCCAUGGGGCAUGCCUGUUCGAGCGUCAUUUGUACCUUCAAGCUUUGCUUGGUGUUGGGUGUUUGUCUCGCCUCUGCGUGUAGACUCGCCUUAAAACAAUUGGCAGCCGGCGUAUUGAUUUCGGAGCGCAGUACAUCUCGCGCUUUGCACUCAUAACGACGACGUCCAAAAGUACAUUUUUACACUCUUGACCUCGGAUCAGGUAGGGAUACCCGCUGAACUUAAGCAUAUCAAUAAGCGGAGGA